RNAcentral lists this ribosomal RNA (431 nucleotides) under Bifidobacterium breve. RNAcentral describes it as "bacterial SSU rRNA". It matches the Rfam family "Bacterial small subunit ribosomal RNA", at positions 66 to 504 of the family's 1533-position model. The record is from RNAcentral. Lineage: Bacteria; Bacillati; Actinomycetota; Actinomycetes; Bifidobacteriales; Bifidobacteriaceae.
ACGGGAUCCAGGCAGCUUGCUGCCUGGUGAGAGUGGCGAACGGGUGAGUAAUGCGUGACCGACCUGCCCCAUGCACCGGAAUAGCUCCUGGAAACGGGUGGUAAUGCCGGAUGCUCCAUCACACCGCAUGGUGUGUUGGGAAAGCCUUUGCGGCAUGGGAUGGGGUCGCGUCCUAUCAGCUUGAUGGCGGGGUAACGGCCCACCAUGGCUUCGACGGGUAGCCGGCCUGAGAGGGCGACCGGCCACAUUGGGACUGAGAUACGGCCCAGACUCCUACGGGAGGCAGCAGUGGGGAAUAUUGCACAAUGGGCGCAAGCCUGAUGCAGCGACGCCGCGUGAGGGAUGGAGGCCUUCGGGUUGUAAACCUCUUUUGUUAGGGAGCAAGGCAUUUUGUGUUGAGUGUACCUUUCGAAUAAGCACCGGCUAACUAC